This 484-nucleotide ribosomal RNA is filed under the name uncultured bacterium. RNAcentral describes it as "partial 16S ribosomal RNA". It matches the Rfam family "Bacterial small subunit ribosomal RNA", at positions 30 to 507 of the family's 1533-position model. The record is from RNAcentral.
AUUGGACGCUGGCGGCAGGCCUAACACAUGCAAGUCGAGCGGAUGAAGGGAGCUUGCUCCUGGAUUCAGCGGCGGACGGGUGAGUAAUGCCUAGGAAUCUGCCUGGUAGUGGGGGAUAACGUCCGGAAACGGGCGCUAAUACCGCAUACGUCCUGAGGGAGAAAGUGGGGGAUCUUCGGACCUCACGCUAUCAGAUGAGCCUAGGUCGGAUUAGCUAGUUGGUGGGGUAAAGGCCUACCAAGGCGACGAUCCGUAACUGGUCUGAGAGGAUGAUCAGUCACACUGGAACUGAGACACGGUCCAGACUCCUACGGGAGGCAGCAGUGGGGAAUAUUGGACAAUGGGCGAAAGCCUGAUCCAGCCAUGCCGCGUGUGUGAAGAAGGUCUUCGGAUUGUAAAGCACUUUAAGUUGGGAGGAAGGGCAGUAAGUUAAUACCUUGCUGUUUCGACGUUACCAACAGAAUAAGCACCGGCUAACUUCGUG